AUUGAACGCUGGCGGCAGGCCUAACACAUGCAAGUCGAGCGGCUGAAGGGAGCUUGCUUCUUGAUACAGCUGCCGACGGGUGGGUAAUGCCUAGAUAUCUGCGUGUCUGUGGGGGAUAACGGCCGGACACGGGCGCUCAUACGGUAUACGUCCUGAGGGAGUACGGGUGAAAGCUGCGGACCUUCGGCUAUUACAUGAGCCGAUGUCGGAUUAGCUAGUUGGUGGGGUAAAGGCCUACCAAGGCGACGAUCCGUAACUGGUCUGAGAGGAUGAUCAGUCACACUGGAACUGAGACACGGUCCAGACUCCUACGGGAGGCAGCAGUGGGGAAUAUUGGACAAUGGGCGAAAGCCUGAUCCAGCCAUACCGCGUGUGUGAAGAAGGUCUUCGGAUUGUAAAGCACUUUAGUUUGGGAGGAAAAGCAGUAAGUUAAUACCUUGCUGUUUUGACGGUACCAACAGAAUAAGCACCGGCUAACUUCGUG
RNAcentral lists this ribosomal RNA (484 nucleotides) under uncultured bacterium. Its description in RNAcentral is "partial 16S ribosomal RNA". It matches the Rfam family "Bacterial small subunit ribosomal RNA", at positions 30 to 507 of the family's 1533-position model. The record is from RNAcentral.